RNAcentral lists this ribosomal RNA (253 nucleotides) under uncultured bacterium. RNAcentral's name for it is "partial 16S ribosomal RNA". It matches the Rfam family "Bacterial small subunit ribosomal RNA", at positions 524 to 776 of the family's 1533-position model. The record is from RNAcentral.
UACGGAGGGGGCUAGCGUUGUUCGGAAUUACUGGGCGUAAAGCGCACGUAGGCGGCUUUGUAGGUUAGAGGUGAAAGCCCGGAGCUCAACUCCGGAAUUGCCUUUAAGACUGCAUCGCUAGAAUUGUGGAGAGGUAAGUGGAAUUCCGAGUGUAGAGGUGAAAUUCGUAGAUAUUCGGAAGAACACCAGUGGCGAAGGCGACUUACUGGACACAUAUUGACGCUGAGGUGCGAAAGCGUGGGGAGCAAACAGG